This 468-nucleotide ribosomal RNA is filed under the name uncultured bacterium. RNAcentral describes it as "partial 16S ribosomal RNA". It matches the Rfam family "Bacterial small subunit ribosomal RNA", at positions 28 to 507 of the family's 1533-position model. The record is from RNAcentral.
GACGAACGCUGGCGGCGUGCUUAACACAUGCAAGUCGAACGGAAAGGCCCUGCUUUUGUGGGGUGCUCGAGUGGCGAACGGGUGAGUAACACGUGAGUAACCUGCCCUUGACUUUGGGAUAACUUCAGGAAACUGGGGAUAAUACCGGAUAGGAGCUCCUGCUGCAUGGUGGGGGUGGGAAAGUUUCGGCGGUUGGGGAUGGACUCGCGGCUUAUCAGCUUGUUGGUGGGGUAGUGGCUUACCAAGGCUUUGACGGGUAGCCGGCCUGAGAGGGUGACCGGCCACAUUGGGACUGAGAUACGGCCCAGACUCCUACGGGAGGCAGCAGUGGGGAAUAUUGCACAAUGGGCGGAAGCCUGAUGCAGCAACGCCGCGUGCGGGAUGACGGCCUUCGGGUUGUAAACCGCUUUCGCCUGUGACGAAGCGUGAGUGACGGUAAUGGGUAAAGAAGCACCGGCUAACUACGUG